GAGUGAUAAGUAGGUAAUUUUAAUUGGGGAAAUUAAAAAAUAAUAAGAAACUUUAUUAUGAAAGUUAGUGUUAAAAACUAUGGGAAAGAUACUCUAGGGAUAACAGCGUUAUUACUUUGGAGAGUACAUAUUGAUAAAGUAGUUUGCGACCUCGAUGUUGAAUUAACGGACCUUCUAGUUGGAGAGGACUAGGAAGGCAGAUUGUCCAUCUGUUAAAUCGUUACUUGAUCUGAGUUCAGACCGGA
RNAcentral lists this ribosomal RNA (245 nucleotides) under Halarachne halichoeri. RNAcentral's name for it is "partial large subunit ribosomal RNA". It matches the Rfam family "Bacterial large subunit ribosomal RNA", at positions 2252 to 2620 of the family's 2925-position model. The record is from RNAcentral. Lineage: Eukaryota; Metazoa; Arthropoda; Arachnida; Mesostigmata; Halarachnidae.